RNAcentral lists this ribosomal RNA (253 nucleotides) under uncultured bacterium. RNAcentral's name for it is "partial 16S ribosomal RNA". It matches the Rfam family "Bacterial small subunit ribosomal RNA", at positions 524 to 776 of the family's 1533-position model. The record is from RNAcentral.
UACGUAGGGUGCGAGCGUUAAUCGGAAUUACUGGGCGUAAAGCGUGCGCAGGCGGUUUUGCAAGACAGAUGUGAAAUCCCCGGGCUCAACCUGGGAACUGCAUUUGUGACUGCAAGGCUGGAGUGCGGCAGAGGGGGAUGGAAUUCCGCGUGUAGCAGUGAAAUGCGUAGAUAUGCGGAGGAACACCGAUGGCGAAGGCAAUCCCCUGGGCCUGCACUGACGCUCAUGCACGAAAGCGUGGGGAGCAAACAGG